CGUUGUGCUAAAGGCUUGAGUCACAAGGCAGGUGGCUCAGAGGUUGACGCAGUGGUCUUGUUCCAGCGGCAGUCGCUCUGCAAAUCAGGCAGGUAUUUUAGCUCAGGGGCAGGUCACCUGGCCCCACACUGUGGGAGAUGACAACCGUCCAGUGGGUUCUCUAUCUAAAACCCGUGUUGCACUGUUUGUUUCUUUUUCUUUUUUUUUCUUCGUGUAUCCAACAAGAGCAGCCCAUCACCCACACAUCUUGCGUUUCUGUCCUGGCUUCCUGACUGAUCACCACUCCUUUUGUGUGAAACCCAGCAUAUGUGGACGUUUGAGGAAAGCCUGGAAGCCUCCCAUGACUGGCUGUCACCACCUCUCCAGGGUUCAGAAUCCACACAGGCUCUCAGGCCAAGGGGAACUGUGUGCUUGGCACAUGGUCUGCAGACUCCUCGAUUGUUACGUUCAAGGCCCUGGAAGUUUGACCCUAGACUCCCUCCCUGGCCUUAGUAUAGAUGAAAGAACACUGGGUAGGGAGUCCAAAGUGGGAAACAGCUCUCUGCCUUCUGCCUCUGAUGGAAGCCAUGAAAAAUGAACACAGCACCCAGAGAGAAGGAAACACCGGGGCAGGGAGGGGCGUCGGAGCCAGAUGACCGGCUGGUCCUAGCCCAGCAGGCACCAGCUGGACCAGCUGGAUCCUGGGGAGGCUCUCAAGGGCCUGCUGGUCACACACCUGACCCCCUAACAGGGCCCCAGGGUCUGGACGGCCAUUGGCCCGGGAGUCCAGAGCAAAUCCAGCUGCCUCUCUGAGAGCUAGAACCCAGAGCCCGGACCUUCCUGGGAUCUCCAGCACUCAGAGGCUCUGAGGACAGGGGAUCUACUCCCUGCCUCUGCCCCGAAGAAGGCCAGGCCAUGCGGGCACAUGCCCUCGUGAAGGUCGACUGCAAGCUGGGCAGAAAUUCGACACAUCCCUUUGGUCCGUUCAUGUUCCUAACAGUCCUAUGAUGUCAGCAUCAGGACUCCCAUUUUCUAGGAGGGAAUUGGCACUCAGAGAGGUUAAGGAACUUGCCCAAGGACGACCAGCCAAAACAACUGGCAGAAGGGGACGAUUUAUUUUUCAUUAAUGCCAUUACUGCUUACUUACAUAAUACAUGAAAGCAUCCUCUUAAAGCUAACAUUUCAGACGGAGACCCGAAGAGAAACCGAGGCCCAGAUCUGCUAGCCUCCAAACCGCUCAUUCUUCUACUGCCACUGAUGACUCCAGCUGGCUCUACUUCACCGCCCGCCCUUCUUUAACUUUUCAGUAUAAUUUUGAAGAAGUCAUGCGUGCACGUGACUUAGGGACAGAAGUCGAUAAAGGACACAUGCUGGAAAACAUGGUCUCCUCCAACCCCAGGCUUGUUGCCUCAACCAAGGGAAUCAUGCUAGAGGCUCUGGGGUUUCCUCCCAGAGCCGUUCUGUCACUGACAUACAUCAUGGCCUUGGCAACGUCUGGCUGGAAGAUUCCCACCCUGGAUAUCCACGUGGUUCAUCCCCCUACCCAGUUGCCCGUAUUCGGGGAGGGCGUCCCUGCCCUUUCCAGCGUGCACACGGUACCACCUGUCCUGCCUCCUGUCUCCCUCCCCCGAGUGAUCCUUCUCCAUAGCACUGACUCCCUUCUGCUUUUGAUCGUGUUUAUCAUCUGAUGCCCCACUCCCUGAGCCAGAGCGAAAGCUCUUCCUCGGCAGGGGUUUCCACACGCUGUGUUCACUGCCACGGCCUCGGUACCUAGAACAAGGACCCACAUGGGUAACAACAUAAACGUAAAAGCCGGCCCCGGCCAUUAUACAGGUGGGCAGACCCCACCCUUGACACGAAGGGUGGCAUCUUAUACACGCUGUUCUCAACCUUCUUUCUAAGAACAUACGGUUCAGCUCAAAGAGAUUGUCACUCCUGGAGAACAGGACGGAGCCUUUUCUACCUCUUGUCUCUCCAAGGAUCCAGCCUGGCCUGGGGGCCACACAGGACACAUUCAGAGCACAGCAUGGCCAGGCUGGAAACUUGGCCCUGACCUCACACCACAGACCAAAAGAAAAAAAAAAGAAAAAAAAAAAAAAGCAAAACAAUACAUUGCUUAGAAGAUGCUACAGGAGAAGAUCUCCAUGACCUUGGGGUUGACAAAGAUUCUCAAAGAAGACUGCAAAUGCUAACCAUAAGGGAAAGUUGAUAAAUUUUCUGACAUUAAAGCAAAGAACCUCUGCUAACCCCAAAUACCCCAUUAAGAGAAUGAAAUAGGUGAGGCCCAGGGUGGUGGGAGGGUCUGGAAGAGAUAGAAGACAACACAGCACAUUGUGAUGCCCAGGUUCAAGGGAGGGCGCCCCAAGACGGUCUGCAGUGAGCUAGGAGGGCUUCUCAGGACAGACGGAAGGGGACUCCAUCUCACUCCCCCUCAGCUCUGGCCUCCUCCUUUCUAAGAAAACUAGACACUUAAGACAGACAGAAGACCCCCAGCCCGCCCUCCCCUUUCUGCCCCAUGCGGAGAUAACCAAGCAAGAAAAAAACAAAUUAAAGAGCCCAGGAGCCUGGCAGGGCCUUGGUAAGUUUGGUUUGACAGGGCAACAGCAUUUAACA
Long non-coding RNA from Mustela erminea (ermine), 2592 nucleotides. RefSeq lists it as uncharacterized. NCBI's taxonomy places the organism in Eukaryota, Metazoa, Chordata, Mammalia, Carnivora, Mustelidae. The record is from RefSeq and is a predicted model, not a curated record. The transcript has 3 exons.